UGAUUACGUCCCUGCCCUUUGUACACACCGCCCGUCGCUCCUGCCAAUGGGUGGAGUGGUGAGAGAAUCGUACUAGCCCUGAAGGUUGAGCUAGGAAUUCAUCUCGAGCCGUUUCAUCUAAAGGAAGGAGAAGUCGUAACAAGGUUUCCGUAGGUGAACCUGCGGAAGGAUCACUGAUACCGUAUCGAUGAUGACGCUACUAAGGUGUAGACCGAUGCCCACAUGCGAAAAGGUACCCCCCGUGGUGCCUAGUCUCCGUAACAUGGUCCCCAAACCACAGUCUGUUUUGCGCAUGGUAGAGGCUUCUAUCUUAUUAUGUUGAGCUUAGUUCUAAUGACGGAUGUCUAGGCUCCUGUAUCGAUGAAGAACGUAGCUAAAGACGAUAUAGCAUUGAUAGAUCGCUAUCUUUAAGCUGUGAAUCAUCUAGUCUUCGAACGCAACUAGCGCUCUAUUCUCCAACAGGAAUAGAGCAUGGUGGUCGGAGUGACCGGUAUAAGACAUAGAUGGCGUAUGGUAAACCAUCUUCGAUGGCCUCUCCCCGACCUCCGGUCUUGGUGGAGGUUGAAGUAUUCCUCGAUCUUCGGGGUGUCUGCCGAUACGGCCUUCCCGCGUCCUCCGUCCAUACAAGCUACCCGCUGAACUUAAGCAUAUC
Molecule: ribosomal RNA, 652 nt
Filed under: Gymnochlora stellata
Lineage: Eukaryota; Cercozoa; Chlorarachniophyceae
Description: eukaryotic LSU rRNA
Rfam family: Eukaryotic small subunit ribosomal RNA (bases 1-176)
Source: RNAcentral